RNAcentral lists this long non-coding RNA (5763 nucleotides) under Sus scrofa (pig). RNAcentral's name for it is "lncRNA (ENSSSCG00000051405.1)". Lineage: Eukaryota; Metazoa; Chordata; Mammalia; Artiodactyla; Suidae. The record is from RNAcentral.
AAUGGGAGUUCUUGUUAUGGCCAGCAAUAGUGAACCUGACUAGUAUCCACGAGGACUUGGGUUCCGUCCUUGGCCUGCCUUGGCUCACUGGGUUGAGGAUCCAGCGUUUCGGUGAGCUGUGGUUGUAGGUGGGAGAUGCUGCUCAGAUCCAUGGUUGCUGUGGCUGUGGUGUAGGCUGGCAGCUAUGGCUCUGAGUUGACCCCUGGCCUGGGAACCUCCCUAUGCUGAGGGUGCCCUCCUAAAGUAAAAAAUAAAAUAAAAUAGGGAGAAUGACAAUGCCUGUCUGAUUAGGCUGCCUGUGAAGCUACACAUGGAAGGGCAGGCGCAUGGGGCUGUCUGAAUAAGGGCCCUCUAGGGAAAGUCACUUCUUGUCUGUAAGAGAGAGAGAAUUCCACUUCAGUGCUGUGCACUGUCUCCACUUACCCACCCUGAGCAUUCCUGUUUCACAUCCCGCUUUACCUAUUUAUGUUUCUGCCACCUGCUACGUUGCUAUUGACACCCAUGAGUGUCACGUGGCAUGUGUAUAGACAUUGAGGUGGGCACACAGACACACAGAUGUAUAGCUGUCAUCACAGAUACACCGAAAUUAGUGCUGGACUGCUCUUCCCCUCGAUGGCAGGGGUUGUAUUUGCUGCUGUCUCCUCCGCGCCUGUAUUCGUUGACUGAAUGGACAGAAGAGGGUGAACUGAGACAAUAUAUCCUAGGCUCAGCCUGCUCCCGACCAGACUCUUCAGCCUCCCAUCCCUGGACCUCUGUUCAGAUCUGUGAGCGUCAGACCAUCUUCUGCUCACUCCUUUGGCUUCCCUGAGAAGGCGGUGGCUACGGGCCAGACACCCAACCAUCUGUCCAUUUCUCGCCGACUCCCUCCUUGUCCUGCCUGGUGUUCUGGCCUCUUGGGCAGGUGUCUUCGUCCCCAUCCUGGGCUGAGUGUGCCCUGAGGGCAGGAACAGCUGCUGGUCCACUCCUGCCCAGGAGUGUCACAUCGGUUCCAGGUGAUGCAGGAUAAAACAAGGAAAGUAAGAGCAACCCAAACCCCAGAAGAUGUACUCACCUUUCUAACAUACAAAGAGCACCUCAAAGUUAUACUAAAAGGCUAACUAUUCCAUAGGGGGGAACGUGGGUGAAGACCAGGCACUGAAUCAUUUCCUAGUUCGUAGAGAAGAAAAAGUGGUUUUGGGAUUUCCUCUUGUGGCUCGGCAGGGUAAGAACCCAACUAGUCUCCAUGAGGAUGAGGGUUGGAUCCCUGGCUUCACUCAGUGGGUUCAGGAUCUGGCGUUGCCAUGAGCCACUGUGUAGGCUGCAGAAGCAGCUGUGAUCUGGCGUUGCCCUGGCUGUGCUGUAGAUCGGCGGCUACAGCUCCGAUUUGAUCCCUAGCCUAGGCACAUCCACAUGCGGCGCGGGGUGGGGGAGGCAUAAAAGUAAAAAUAAAAUAAAGUCAACUAAAAUAAACUGAGUCAAACAUAGACGGUCGCUGGAGAUCGGCCCUGCUGCGAAACUCCCUGGAGCCCGGCAGCUUGGAUACCUGGGCAGCUGGCACCUUCCCUUCAGCUGGUGGGCCUGGUCUCCCCCAGGCCUCACCUCCCUGCCUCUCUCUAGGGUGAUCAGUUCUCCCCCCUCGUGGCUCUCGCUCCCAGCCAUUACCACCCUCCUGGGGCUCCACUUGCUGUUUCUUUCUGGUCACCCCCAGUCCCCUCCUGCAGCCAAGGUCUCCCAAAGUGCCAGGCACCUAUGCAGGUGGAGGCUGGACGUCUGUCCCUGUGGGGGUCUGUCUCCUAAGACGCUGCACCAUGGCUGCAACCCCCUCUUCAUAACCUCCUCCACCUGCAGCCUACUCCCGCCUUAGCCUUGCCUGCAUCCCCCCGGAAGGUGAGGGCCUUGAGAUAGUUAUGGGAUGAAGAAGCAGGUGGUCUUAGGUGUGGGGAAAACUGAGGUAGGGAAAAGGCGAGGUAGCUGAGUUCCAUGCUUCCUCAUGGGAUGUUCUGUUCAAAAAUGGGGCUGUGGGAGUUCUCCCGUGGCACAGCAGCUUGGGUAUCCAGUGUUGUCACUGCAGUGACUCAGAUUCGAUCCCUUGCCUGGGAAGUUCCGAAUGUCAGACAGGUGUGGCCUCCCCCCAAAAUGGAGCUGCUAAGCAUGAUCUGAGAGUGGAGUUUUCUUCUGUCUGAUGUCUAAAUGUUGUUCCUAAGACACCUGCAUAAACCCAGGUUUUGUUUGGUUGGUUGGUUGGUUGGUUGGUUGUUGGGUCUUUUUAGGGCUGAACCUGUGGCACAUGGAAGUUCCCAGGCUAGGGGUGGAAUUGGAGCCUCAGCUGCUGGCCAACACCACAGCCACAGCAACGCCAGAUCCUUAACCCACUGGGCGAGGCCCGGGAUUGAACCCAAGUCCUCAUGCAAACCGGUCGGGUUUGUUACUGCUGAGCCACGAUGGGAACCUCACAGGCCCAGUGUUAGGGCUGGUGGUCCCAACCAGUCUUCGCCAUCUUGACCUGGACAGCAGCCAACUCCAAGUUUCUGGGAAACAAUUAAGCCUCUGUUAGUAGAAGGGAGCCAUAAGUCCGAGGGGUUAUCUAGAGGGGUGGUUAAAGAGCCCCCAAAUAAUUAAGGCAAAGUUCCCUUGGGAUGCCGCAGGUUAAAUAUGGCAUUGUCACUGCUGUGGCUGGGGUCACAGCUGAGGCAUGGGUCCCACUCCUGGCCUGAGAACUUGUAUGUCCUGGGGGCACCGCCAAAAGAAAUGAGGGGGAGCUGGGUCAGUGAAGGCUGCUUACAAGCGGGGGUGGGGUGGGGCGUUACGCUCAUCUAAAUGUGAGCUCACCUCCACACACACCAAAGGAGCCAACAAACCCGAAAGAGUGUAGAUUUUCCACUCCCACCUUCAAACUGUCAGAAAGGAAGCCUCCAGGAGGCCAAGCGACCUGCACACCUUGACACCCUCCCGGCUCCACGUUCCUUCAGGAAUCAGGCGCCCACAGACACCUCCACCAGGGGGCAGCAUCUCCUGCCCAGCCCUUGGCUGGGCCCUGGGACUUGGUUUUGUUUUGGAUGCGCUGCCUCUGAACCCGCCUCUGGUAGGGGAAGAGGAGGCGCCUAAGGGUUCCUUCCACACGUUUUCUCUGGUCGCGCUCCUUCAGAGAAGUAGGUUGUGUCCCCCGCAUUUCAUUCUGGAGGAAACACAGCUAGGAUUUGAAAUCCGGGUCUUGGUGAUUCCCAGGCUGAAGCUGCUCCCGGGCAUCCACUUGCCCGGCCCAUCCCCACUCCUGCAGGCGCCUCUCCUCCUUCAUUUGUGCCCUCAGACAGGUGCUCGGUUAGGCUGCUGAGGAGACAAGGAUGUCCUCGGCUGCUUGCCGGGUGCGUUCCAUCCAUCCUGUAGCCUCUCCUCCAAGAAAUCCUUCCUCUCCAGUAAAGGCCUGAGCAUUCAGUACUACCCAGACCUUGCCCAGAAGGGCAGGAUUUUAUAGGCAUCCCUGGUGACCACCGAGGUCUCAAGGAUCCUAGACCAGGAAACUUCCAGCUAAGGGUCGAUGCUUGGUUCCCAUAGUCAGGGAACCCCCUGAGUACAUUUAACCAUCCCAUUGUGGAGUUCCCAUUGUGGCUCAGUGGUAAUGAACCCGACCAGUAUCCCUGAGGAUGCAGGCUCCAUCCUUGGCCUCCCUCGGUGGGUUAAGGAUUCGGCAUUGCCAUGAGCUGCGGCGUAGGACGCAGACGCGGCUCGGAUCUGGCGUUGCUGUGGCUGUGGCCUAGGCCGGCAGCUGUAGCUCCCAUUAGACCCCUAGCCUGGGAACUUCCACGUGCUGCAGGUGCAGCCCCCAAAAAGCAAAAGAAAUUAAUUUUGAAAAAAUCGUCCCAUUGUGCAGUCAUGAAUCCUGCAAGCUUUCCUGACUGCCCACUGUGUGGCAGGCGUGGUGCUGGGCACUGCAGAGCUGUGGAUGACAAGAGCCAGCUCCUGGGCUCGGCACUUCGUCUGCUGGGGAGAUGGCUCUAAGGAAGAACAACCCCUCAGCAGCUAGAAGUUGACCCCGGCUGGGGCGUCUACAGGAGGUGGCAUGCAGGUCCCAGCUAUUCUGUCCUCUCUGGAAUGAAUGCUCUGGAGUGACUCCUUAUCACUGAAAACCUUGGCUCUAAGGUCGCCAAUUGGAGAGCGCUUCAAGAGCAAUCCCCUACCCCCCAAGCCUGGACUCAUCUAAAGUAGCUCCCUGCCCAGUUACUCUCCAGCCCAUCUCCCUGUUUCAUUUUCCUUGCUUGUACGGGUCGUGAUCUGAAAUUCUCUCUUUGCAGUCAUUGUCUGUGUCUCCCCAUUGCCCAAUAUGGUGUACACUCCACGAGGGCAGGUCCCAGACUGGGGUGUGGAGGUGGAGACCGGAGUUCCCACUUACCUCUUCUUGGUCUUUUCUAGGGCCGCACCCGAGGCACAUGGAGGUUCCCAGGCUAGGGGUCUAAUCAGAGCUGUGGCCGCUGGCCUACUCCACAGCCACAGCAACGCGGGACCUGAGCCCCGUCUUCGACCUACACCACGGCUCACGGCGACGCCGGAUCCUUAACCCCCGGGGCAAGGCCAGGGAUCGAACCCGCAACCUCACGGAUCCUCGUCGGAUUCGUUAACCACUGAGCCACGAUGGGAACGCCCUGGAAUUCCUAUUUAGAAGAGACUGGAUUGGGGUAGGUCCACGGCCUGAGGCUGUCCUGACAAACCGGGCCCCUUUCUUCACCCUCAUCUUGCCGCAUCUCCUUCCCACUUGUUCAAUACCUUCCCUGGCAAACACAAAAGAUGCAACGUAGGGUAGAAUUGCCACUUCCAUCCCCUUCAUCAGAUAGUCAAGUGACAGUCUCCCUCUUGGGUGAGGCCCAGGAGAUCUUGGAGAAAUGCUAAAGAAGUUUCAAAGAUUGUGGAAGAAACAAAACAAUGGGCGUGUUUUCAGCUCCCAUUUGUUUGGUUUCAUAGACAAUGCAGCAUUUGUUCAAAGCCCAGGUUAGUUAAUUUCUAGCUGGGUGACCUGGGCCAGGGAUCAGAUCCAAGCCACAGCUGUGCCUUGUGCAGGAGCAGUUUCCACCUAGACGCCGCCGCACCUGCGGCGUCGCUGGAUGCUUUAACACACCGUGCCAGGCUGGGGAUUGAACCUGCGUCUCGGCCCUGCAGAGCCGCUGCUGAUCCUGUUGCGCCACCGUGGGAACGCCUCAGUUUCUUCUUUUCGGGUAAACAUACCUGGUUUGAGUUGUGUCAACUGCAAACAAAAUAGAAGCAGCUCACCUAAAUGUUGAGAGGUGUAGGUUAUUCAGCAGAGGCAAGGGGUGGGGGAAAUCAGUUUUUGCAACGAAAGACCUGGCAGUCCGAACAUCAAAGGACUGCUGCUCCUAAAAGAAAACAAGGGGAGUUCCCACUGGGGCUCAGCCGUUAACGAAGCCGACUAGCAUCCACGAGGUCACGGGUUUGAUCCCUGGCCUCGCUCAGUGGGUUAAGGAUCCAGCGUUGCCGUGAGCCGUGGUGUAGCUCACGGCAACGCCGGAUCGUGAACCCACUGAGCAAGGGCAGGGACCGAACCCGCAACCUCAUAGUUCCUAGUCGGAUUCGUUAACCACUGUGCCACGACGGGAACUCCUGUUGUUUUGCUUUUUGUUUUCUGCCAUGCUGGCAGCACGUGCAAGUACCCAGGCCAAGGAGGGAACCGGCACCAGAUCCUUAGGCCACGGAGCCAGCGAACUCCUGGGGGUUUUUUGGUUUUAAACGAUCCUGUGCUUUCUAAUCUAGACGGGCCUCAGGGUGCACCCAUGUAAA